Molecule: non-coding RNA, 245 nt
Organism: Notechis scutatus (mainland tiger snake)
Lineage: Eukaryota; Metazoa; Chordata; Lepidosauria; Squamata; Elapidae
Source: RefSeq, a predicted model, not a curated record
GGCAUGGCUACAUGGUCAUGUGAUGGAUGGGCGUGGCCAUAUGGUUGGCAACCCAAAUUUAAGUGGUCCUCACUUAAUGACCAGGUGCUCGCUGAGUGGCCAAUUGCUUAGCAAGUGCUUUUUACCAGUUUUCAAGGCCUGGGGAGGCCCAGGCAAGGCCCGGGCAGGUGGCCAUGUGGCUGGCAACCCAAAUUUAAGUGGUCCUCACUUAAUGACCAGGUGCUCGCUUAGUGGCCAAUUGCUUA